This 406-nucleotide ribosomal RNA is filed under the name uncultured bacterium. RNAcentral describes it as "partial 16S ribosomal RNA". It matches the Rfam family "Bacterial small subunit ribosomal RNA", at positions 28 to 526 of the family's 1533-position model. The record is from RNAcentral.
GUUGAACGCUGGCGGCAGGCCUGACACAUGCAAGUCGAACGAGUGGCGGCCGGGUGAGGAAUGUCUGGGAAAUUGCCUUAUGAACGGGGGUAACUCCUGUAACCGGUAGCUAAUACCGCAUACCAUAAGAUGUGCCCAGAUGGGAUUAGCUUGUUGGUGGGGUAACGGCUCACCAAGGCGACGAUCCCUAGCUGGUAUGAGAGGAUGACCAGCUACACUGGAAUUGAGACACGGUCCAGACUCCUACGGGAGGCAGCACGGGGGAAUCUUGCAAAAUGGGUGAGAGCCUGAUGGAGUCAUCAUGGGUGUAGGAAGAAGGCCUCCGGGUUUUAAAUUAGGUUAAGCGGCCAGGCGUUAACCGCAGAAGAAGCCCCGGCUAACGUCGUGCCAGCAGCCGCGGUAAUAC